RNAcentral lists this ribosomal RNA (230 nucleotides) under uncultured bacterium. Its description in RNAcentral is "partial 16S ribosomal RNA". It matches the Rfam family "Bacterial small subunit ribosomal RNA", at positions 562 to 791 of the family's 1533-position model. The record is from RNAcentral.
AAAGCGCGCGUAGGUGGUUUGUUAAGUUGGAUGUGAAAUCCCCGGGCUCAACCUGGGAACUGCAUUCAAAACUGACUGACUAGAGUAUGGUAGAGGGUGGUGGAAUUUCCUGUGUAGCGGUGAAAUGCGUAGAUAUAGGAAGGAACACCAGUGGCGAAGGCGACCACCUGGACUGAUACUGACACUGAGGUGCGAAAGCGUGGGGAGCAAACAGGAUUAGAUACACUAGU